GGUAAAAUGGCUGAUAAUAGGCGGUAGAUUGUAAAUUUACUUAUGAAAAUAAUUUCUUUUACCA
Molecule: transfer RNA, 64 nt
Filed under: Ochthebius minoicus
Lineage: Eukaryota; Metazoa; Arthropoda; Insecta; Coleoptera; Hydraenidae
Description: tRNA-Tyr
Source: RNAcentral